Molecule: non-coding RNA, 1834 nt
Organism: Nicotiana tabacum (common tobacco)
Lineage: Eukaryota; Viridiplantae; Streptophyta; Magnoliopsida; Solanales; Solanaceae
Source: RefSeq, a predicted model, not a curated record
UUAAGAAUUGGUACGGGAUUUAAAGUUCUCGUUUGGCCGAAGCUUAAAGGCAGCAAAGUUUUUCCUUUUGGUUACUUGUGUUCUUUCCACUGACAAACGCACGAAACGAAUAGUUUAGGAAGCAGAGAAAAAUAUUUGGCAAAUGCACUCCCAACAUGACAAAGCAAACUAUGAUACCACUUCAAGAGCACUGAAAACGCAAGCAAUCUAGUAGGCGUUGCAAUCUUACCAACUAAUGAAGCAGUGGCAUCCAACAGUCCGAAGCCAACUUUUCUGGAAGUAUGGAAUCCUUAAUGCAUCCAGUUGGAUAUAUGGUGUUCAAUCCAUAUCCCUGCAUUCCUAGCUGCUCGCAACUUACUUCAUCUAUUAAAAGGUACUACUCCUCAUUGCUAAAAAGUGCACACUUAAAAUACGUUAAAACCAGAACUUAGAUGCAAUAAUGCAAAAGUUAUUAUUUUAGCAAGAAGCGAAACAUCAAAUAUUAUGAUUACGAAUAGCAUUUAGACCCACCAACGUUAAUAAAUUCCAUGGGCAAAAGAUUAUUUAUGCGUAUACUACAGCGAAUAUAAUCUUGUCUUUGAAAUGCUGCAUCUAAAGUAUGAAAGAUCAAGAUGUCUAUUUAUGCUUAUUAAAGAUCUGACAUUUGAAGCCUGAUCAACGUAAAGAGCCCCUGAUACCUUUUUUUCCAUAUAAAACUCAUAACUUAUUUGCAUGUCAAAGAGAAGGCCUUUCUCAUGCCUUCUGUAACUUUUUUGAAUAUCAUCCUCUUUUUAUCUCUUCAAUUUUCAAUUUUUUUUUGUAAACUAUAUCCUCCUACACCAUCAAACUUCUCAUGUGCAAAUUUCAUAUUCACAGUUCCAAGCAAACCUCAAAUGACUAUGCAUAAUAAUGAUUUAGCACACCUAAGAAAGAUACAAACUACAGAAAUGAACUCGACAUUCUAGUUAAAAUUAAAAAAAAAAAAAAGAAUUGCACAAAAGGAAAAAAAGAAAGAAUAUAACCUAAUGUCGAACCAAUUUACUGCAUCAAACUAAACAAUUUUCUUGAUUUCCUCCUCCUUAGUCCUAGAUCGUUCCUACUACUACCAAAAUAAACUCAAAACAUAUUACAGGAAAUUAAUCAACUAUUGAUAUGAUUGACAUCCAUAUUUUAUAAUUAAAUACUCACCCGGGCAUAUCCUGUCAAAUAUUAGACAGAGAAAUUAAGAUUGAAUCUUCCACAACACCGUCUUUUCGAACCCAAUUGAAAUAAGUUGUUGACUUUUACAUGCAUUGACUAAUUUCUAUCAAAGAGCCAAAGACAAAAUAGAAAGUUGAAGCUCAGAACAAACAUAAGAAGUGAAAAACAGAAAGAUAGCCAAAGGUAACAUAUAAAGCAAAGGAAGUAGAAAAGCACCAAAUUUUGGAAAACACUCUAUUAGAAUUUGGAGAUUUAGCAACGUACUCAAUCUGAAAUCACCACAAUAAGCCUUUAAAAUUUGAUAACCAAAUCAUCUGCAUUAUCCUGCGGUAAAUGAUUCGCCAUAUGCGGUUUAAAUCUCGGACGAAUGAAAAAUGUGAAUCAAUUCUUCUUCGUGGUAAUUUAUUUACAAUUGAGGAACAGACUGAAGCAACGCUAUAUAGAAUGGCGAAGCCCGGAAAGGCAUGAGAGAUCGACUUGAAUAGCAAAGGCGUUACCAGCAAUGUCAGUUACAAAAACAAAAGAAAAAAGAUAAGAGAAGUAAAGGAUGCGACUUUUCCAGGUAAAAUAAAAGGAUUCGACUUUUGAGUUUUUUGUUUUAUCAUAAUAGAGAACAUAAAUGAGAAAAAAUAGGAAAAAAGUAAAUACCAAUCCU